GACCGCGAAGCUCAGUUGGCAGAGCAUUGGGCUAGUAUUCCAAAGGUCGUAGGUUCGAUUCCGCCCGUGGUCA
Paramuricea clavata is the source of this 73-nucleotide non-coding RNA. NCBI's taxonomy places the organism in Eukaryota, Metazoa, Cnidaria, Anthozoa, Malacalcyonacea, Plexauridae. The record is from the annotation of a GenBank genome assembly.